CAAAGAUAAAGAGAGUGAGAGAGAGAGAGAGAGAGCGAGUACCGUUAAAACAAGUGCGGAAGCAGUGUACCGUUAGAUGCAAAACAGCAGCCAGUCAGUCAGUCCAAUCCGUUUGGCUCUCUCUCUCUCUCUCUCUCUCUCUCUCUGUCUACCUCCAUGU
RNAcentral lists this microRNA precursor (160 nucleotides) under Drosophila guanche. The record is from RNAcentral. Lineage: Eukaryota; Metazoa; Arthropoda; Insecta; Diptera; Drosophilidae.